RNAcentral lists this transfer RNA (58 nucleotides) under Neotoma lepida (desert woodrat). It matches the Rfam family "tRNA", at positions 8 to 63 of the family's 71-position model. Rfam says of the family: Transfer RNA (tRNA) molecules are approximately 80 nucleotides in length. Their secondary structure includes four short double-helical elements and three loops (D, anti-codon, and T loops). Lineage: Eukaryota; Metazoa; Chordata; Mammalia; Rodentia; Cricetidae. The record is from Rfam by way of RNAcentral.
UGGCUCAGUGGUUAAGAGCUCUGGCUGCUCUUCCAGAGGACCUGGGUUCAACUCCCAG